CAUUUCUCGGAGAAAGUAACUCAUCGGUUGUCCAGUUCUGAGGUGACCUUCGUAAGCUUCAAGCCAGAGACGUCACUUCAUCACGGCUUCAUACAGCGUGGAGAGAUUUGUCCACUGGCUGCUGUGGUAGGGACAAAUUUGUAAAUACCCAUCACGUUUCGACAGAGUAUAUGAGUAACGGCACUUCUUCCCCAAUCAGGCAUUGGCUUUGGCGAAGACACCACAACCAUAUCAGGAAUUGAAUUAGGAAAAUCUCGACCGAUAUAAAUUCUCAAAGUGUAUUCGUUGUCGUUGUUUGUUUUCAGUGUGACUUCUAAUUUCGUAUCGCCGGUAGGAUCGAUCCAUUUUACACAACCAGGGAAGUAACGAUCCAGUA
Non-coding RNA from Paramuricea clavata, 376 nucleotides. NCBI's taxonomy places the organism in Eukaryota, Metazoa, Cnidaria, Anthozoa, Malacalcyonacea, Plexauridae. The record is from the annotation of a GenBank genome assembly.